CCCCUCUCAGGAUCGCACCUGGAGGGUUUCCAGCAUUCUACUAGUCUCAGCUACAGGAGGGAGAGUCAAACAGAAGCCUACCCAUUCCAUUCCUAGCUUGGGCAGUGGCUGGAGAGUGGAAGGCAAUCUGCUACAAGU
Molecule: non-coding RNA, 138 nt
Organism: Ornithorhynchus anatinus (platypus)
Lineage: Eukaryota; Metazoa; Chordata; Mammalia; Monotremata; Ornithorhynchidae
Source: Rfam